RNAcentral lists this unclassified non-coding RNA (226 nucleotides) under Hevea brasiliensis (rubber tree). The record is from RNAcentral. Lineage: Eukaryota; Viridiplantae; Streptophyta; Magnoliopsida; Malpighiales; Euphorbiaceae.
GUUGGGCCUGUGGACUGGAGUUGGGUGCCUUUGUUUUUUCCCCUCCUAUUGUCAAGUUGCCUCUAAUGCGUGGUUUUACUAGAAUUUGACUGAAAAGCUGCAACAAUAAUAUUUUCAAUGAAUUUUAAUGUUCCUUUCUAAAAUCAAACAUAUAUUAUUUGACUUGUUUUUAAAGUAGUUUUCAGCUUGCAAUCAGUAUAAUUGUAUGUCUUAGAAAAUUUUGCAU